GUACAGUGAGCAUUGCACGUUGUGGGCAGUUGGUUAGUCGUCGUUUGGCGCGCGAAGUUUUUAAGGCGCGUGUGAAAUCUCGUGCGGGUUGCAGUAAACGCGUGCGCUGGAUUUUGCUGAAGAGUAAGAAUUUUAUUCAUUUCUUAUCGUCCGAAGUGAAACUAAUGGUGGUUCAAUAAUCUUAUGAAAAUGUGAUGCUGGAAUAAUUAAGCGCUGUGAUUCAGUGUUCAAAGUGUUAAUUUGUGAAAUUGAACGCGAAGCGAGAACGGGUUCCUAACCGGUGAUAUAAACUGAAGAGUUUCUACACGUAGUGCUUUACAGUCAGAAGAAAAGACCACGCAGUAGAACAUAUCGAGCAAGGAUAAACUGCUCGUUCGUCUUUAUCCAAGUGGCGGAUCGUACAUUGAAAGAUCGUUCCAUCCCUAAAGUUACCAACGCGAGUGAAUCUUCCCACGAACGGAGCCAUCGUUAUUUAACCUACCGAAACUUUAAACUCUGCCAAAAAGACAACAGAAAAUCGCCACAGCAGCGAUGGAGGACGAUGGCCUCACGAAGGACACUCGAAAGAAUUCGGUGAAAAGUGCCGCCAGCAAUGGAACCGGUGGCGGUGGCGGCGGCGAUGGGGAGAUCACGCUCAAGCCAAAGAUGACUCUGGUCAACGGAGUGACGGUGAUUGUCGGUUCGAUCAUCGGGUCCGGUAUCUUCGUGUCGCCGACUGGGGUGCUCAUCAACACCGGCAGCGUCAAUAUGUCGCUGAUCGUUUGGGUGCUGUCCGGACUGUUUUCGAUGGUUGGAGCCUACUGCUAUGCCGAGCUGGGAACGAUGAUCAAAAAAUCCGGCGCCGACUACGCCUACAUUAUGGAAACAUUCGGCCCGUUCCUGGCGUUCAUCCGUUUGUGGAUCGAGUGCAUGAUCGUCCGGCCCUGCUCCCAGGCCAUCGUGGCCCUCACGUUCAGCGUGUACGUCCUGAAACCGUUCUUUCCGGAGUGUCAACCACCGGACGAUGCCGCUCGGCUGCUGGCAGUCUGCUGUAUCCUGGUGUUGACAUUCGUCAACUGUUGGGACGUGAAGUGGGCCACCGCCGUCCAGGACAUCUUCACCUACGCCAAACUGUUGGCUCUAUUCAUCAUCAUCGGCGCUGGAGCAUAUUUCUUCUUCAAAGGCAACACCGAGCACUUCACGUUUGAGAAUACGAAGACCGAAGUAACAUCGCUGGCGCUGUCCUUCUACUCGGGUCUUUUCGCAUACAACGGAUGGAACUAUCUGAACUUCAUCAUCGAGGAGCUGAAGGACCCGGUUAAGAAUCUGCCCCGCGCCAUCGCCAUUUCCUGCACCCUGGUCACCGUCGUGUACGUCUUCACCAAUGUGUCGUUCUACACGGUGCUGUCGCCGGAGGAGGUGCUCGGCUCGCAGGCCGUAGCCGUCACCUUUGCCGAUCGGGUGUUCGGAAUUUUCGCAUGGACCAUUCCGGUUUUCGUGGCUCUGUCGACCUUCGGUGCUGUCAACGGAAUUCUGCUGACGUCAUCGCGCCUUUUCUACGCCGGUGCCUGCGAAGGACAAAUGCCGGAGAUUCUCACCAUGAUCCAGAUCCAGCGCCUCACCCCGACGCCGGCCGUCCUCAUCAUGGCGCUGCUGUCGAUGGUUUACCUGACCGUGUCGGAUAUUUUCGCGCUGAUCAACUACGUCGGAUUUGCAACUUGGUUGAGUAUCGGUGUGGCCGUCUUGUGUCUGCCAUGGCUGCGGUGGGCCCAACCUAACCUGGAACGGCCGAUCAAGGUGAAUCUGCUCUUCCCCAUCUUCUACCUGAUUGCCACCGUGUUCGUCACCGUGGUUCCGAUGAUUGCCAGCCCGGUCGAAACCGGCUACGGAAUGCUCAUGAUCCUGAGCAGCAUCCCCGUUUACUUUAUUUUCAUUGCGUGGCGGAACAAACCCAAGUGGUUCAACCGUUCGAUGGGAGGAUUCACUCAGAGUUUGCAAAAGUUGAUGAUGGUGGUGCGGCCGAAGCAGAAGUAAAUUCCACCGGAGGAGGGAAUUUGAUGAAGAUGUGAUGAUGAAGUGAUGAAAAACAAAAGUGGGCGUCACCCGAUUCCUGCAAAAAAUGCUCAUGGUCGUUGGAAAGGCCAAACCCGCUCAGGUUUAGACAGAGAAAAAGAACAGACACAUCAACCAAACCACAUCGUUCGCGCAUCCCACAUCAAUCAGCUACGUGAAUAAAAUUGGACACUAACGUAUUGACUAGUUCAGAAGAAACAAAAAAAAAACAAAAAGUUUAGGAUAUGAGCCUCAGAAAAGAUUUAUCCUGUGUAGGAAAUAGCAGUCAAAUUCAGGGAGAAGCAUGGGUGAAUAAUAGGAUAGUUGCGAAAAAGUUAGUUUUCUUGUGUUAAAACAAAGUUAGUUUAUGACAAGCAUACAUUCCUGUUUGUGUAUCGUUUUAGUUAUCAACAUAUUGCGAUUGUCGUAAAGUUGACUGUUUUUCGACAUUCCCUCUUCAAGUUAGGUUAACCUCAGUGAGCAAAAAAAAUGUUAAGUUUUAAACAAGGUACUAUAAAGUUAUUUUUUAACGUUAUCAUUGAUUGAGACACGUGACGUAGUAUUUGUUCAAUUCUCUCGAUAAUUAUGUAUACUUUUAAUGUUAGAAUCUUUCGUUCCUCGUAAAUUUAUUGUAUUUCUUAGGAUUGGUCGAUACAAGUAAAGACACUGCUCAAAGCAACGCUACAAUAAUAUCAAACUAACCGUUUCUUUGCAUUUUAUUAUACAUUUUCAGUUGAAGCGAAGAAUACAUAUUAAGAUGAUAAA
Armigeres subalbatus is the source of this 2796-nucleotide RNA transcript. It is a transcript of the gene named large neutral amino acids transporter small subunit 1-like, with no coding region annotated. The record is from RefSeq and is a predicted model, not a curated record. The transcript has 10 exons. NCBI's taxonomy places the organism in Eukaryota, Metazoa, Arthropoda, Insecta, Diptera, Culicidae.